GAUGAACGCUGGCGGCGUGCCUAAUACAUGCAAGUCGAGCGAACGGACGAGAAGCUUGCUUCUCUGAUGUUAGCGGCGGACGGGUGAGUAACACGUGGAUAACCUACCUAUAAGACUGGGAUAACUUCGGGAAACCGGAGCUAAUACCGGAUGAUAUUUUGAACCGCAUUGUUCAAUAGUGAAAGACGGUCUUUCUGUCACUUAUAGAUGGAUCCGCGCUGCAGUAGCUAGUUGGUAAGGUAACGGCUUACCAAGGCAACGAUGCAUAGCCGACCUGAGAGGGUGAUCGGCCACACUGGAACUGAGACACGGUCCAGACUCCUACGGGAGGCAGCAGUAGGGAAUCUGCCGCAAUGGGCGAAAGCAUGACGGAGCAACGCCGCGUGAGUGAUGAAGGUCUUCGGAUCGUAAAACUCUGUUAUUAGGGAAGAACAUAUGUGUAAGUAACUGUGCACAUCUUGACGGUACCUAAUCAGAAAGCCACGGCUAACUACGUG
Molecule: ribosomal RNA, 497 nt
Filed under: uncultured bacterium
Lineage: Bacteria
Description: partial 16S ribosomal RNA
Rfam family: Bacterial small subunit ribosomal RNA
Source: RNAcentral